This is a long non-coding RNA of Lagopus muta (rock ptarmigan), 4322 nucleotides long. RefSeq lists it as uncharacterized. Lineage: Eukaryota; Metazoa; Chordata; Aves; Galliformes; Phasianidae. The record is from RefSeq and is a predicted model, not a curated record. The transcript is spliced from 2 exons.
ACGUGGGGGGACACAAGGGACAUAGAGGACACAAUGGACAUGGGAGGCAUGUGAGCAAUGUGACAGUUACAGAGCACAUGGGGGGACAUGGGAGGCCUGAGGACACCAGGAAUGGGGACACAUUGAAGCCACAGGGAUCUGGGAGGACCCAGGGACAGGUGGGUGACCCUGGGACAUGCGGGGGGACAUGGAGUGCACGUGGGACAUGAGAUGACGUAGGGAGAUAUUGGGGGGAUUCAGAGGACCUGGGGAUGCAAAGUGGACAUGAGUGGCACAGGAAGCACCCAGAGACAUGGGGACACAACAAGAAUACGUUGGCUGGGGACAUCAAGCAGGAUCUGGGAACGGGAAAAAAGUCAUAACUGGGAGCUAGGAACUGGGAUCUGAGAAGUGAGAACUGGAGCAAAGGAUUGGUUCUGGGUACUGUGGGGUGGGAACUGGAAACUGGGAGCAAGGGAUUGGGAAGAAUUGGUAACUGGGAAGUGGUAACUGGGAUCUAGGGACUUAGAAUUGGGAGCUCAGAACAGAGAACACUGAGCUGGGAAGUAGGGAAUGCAAUUACUGUGUUGAGAACUGGGAAUGUGGUGCUGGGAGUUGUGAACUGGUGGCUGGGAAAUGGGAAGUGGUGAAAGGGAACUGGGAAUAGGAAGCAGAGGGCUUUAAAAGAGGAGGUAAAAUGGUUGGGAAGUGGGAACUGUUAGAAGCAAGUGUGAUUUGGGAGCUGGAAACUGGGAGCUCUUGGAGCUGGGAACAGGGAAAUGGAAACUGAACAGGGAGCUUGGAACUGUGACCUCAGUCACAGAGCUCAGAAAUGGGAGUUGCUCGAUGGAACUGGAAACCAAAGAUGGAAUUUGGGAACUUAAAAUUGGCAACUGGGAUCUAGGAACCACAACGGUGAGGGAAGAAGAUACGGCGAUGGGAGCCCAUGGGGUUUAAUGUGCACUGAGAGGAGCUGUGGCCGCCAUGAGGCCUUCCCUCAGCCUCCUCUUCUCCGGGCCCAGCACAGCGCAGAGUCUCAGUGCUCCUCACAGCCGUGCGCUCAGUCCCUGCCCCGUCUGUAACCCUAUUUUUUGUCUGUGUUUCGGUACGUGGGUGGAUCUUCCGAACGGAGCUGGAGACAGGCACAGCGCGAGGCUCCCACCGGGCGGUAGGCCGGAGCAGGCCGCAGGCCCAGCGCCUGUCGCCAUGGCAACGCGAAGCGCGCAGGCGCAGAAUCCCAUGAGUGGGCCUCACGGCAUCAUGGGACAACAAGUCCGCAGCGCUACACCCCCUCAACCCCGCCCGCGGCAUAGGACUACAGCUCCCAUAAACCCUCACGGCGGAAGCGCACCUCUCCCCUUCCUCUACAUCUCUCCCUCCCAUUGGCUCCGCCGCGAUGCCCGGCAGCAGUACGGCAGCGUCUGAUUGGUUGGAAGGCGAGCGGGACGAGGCGGCGGCUAUGGCGGACGAGCGGGCGGUGUGAGGGCUCGGCCGCCAUUUUGUGUGUGUGGGGGCUUACGCCAGGCCUCGCUGCCCGCCGCCGCGGGGCCGGUGAGCGGCCGGGGACUUCGAGGGGACUCUGGGCCGAGCCGGGAGCACGGGGGAGCGGCUCCCUCCGGUGUUGAGUCCUGAGGAGAGCGGCGGAGGUCCGCGCGGUGCGGCCGUUCCCCUCAGGAGUGCGGGGCUGUGAGGCGGGGAGGGCCCCGGGAAGGCCGCAGCUCCGGGGGGGGGGCCGUGGCUGAGGGAAACGGGGCGGAGGGGGCCGGACCUGGGCCUCACUUGGGGGAUGAGAGGGGUAGCAGACAUUGUGGUAGGAAAGCUGUGAGCUCGGGCUGUGCUGGGGAUCAGCGGUGUCUGAGUGACCCCGGUGGGAGCAGCGUGGGGGGAAACGGCGCGUUUUUGUAGUGAAAGAGACGCUCUGGUUUAGAAACAUGGAAAAGCCACAUGGUGACACAAUGCGCCUUUAAUGCACGGCAGCUGAAAAAUGGCCCCCCGAGAACAUUACCCUCGGUAUCACUCGGGCUCACGGGACCCUGAAGUGCUGCAGGGCUCCCCACAGCCAACACGGACCCACACAUCACCCCCAGAGCCCCACACAGCAGCCCUGGGGUCCAUCAUGCACCACAGAGCCCCAGCCUGGGGCUGCAGACGUCACUCAGUGCAGUGGAAAUGAAGGCUGGGGAAAUAACAGCGCUUGGACUUGGUUCAGGUGUAAAACGGCACCAUUUGGGGUUUCUGAGUGUAGGUCCUGCUGUCAAACAUGGGACCUGCCAGUCACAAGCCGAAUUCUUUUCCAUUUAUACAACUGGAGGGUUGGUUUCGUUCUCUUUUUUAAGAAAAUGCUCUGUUGAAACAGAUUUGCCGACAAAUGUCCACGUUGCUCUAUUAGUUCCUGUGUGCUGGAGCCUUGCACUUCAUACACUGCUGCAUGGCCGGGCUGGGAGCUUUAUUUCCAUGUACCUCAGUGCUGUGUUCAGCCCUCACAGCAACGAAGACGCUGAGGCCCUGGAGCGUGUGCAGAGAAGGGCAUGGAGCUGUGAGGGCUGUGAACACAGAAGGGAGCAGCUGAGGGAGCAGGGAUGGAUCAGUGCGGAGGAGAGGAGCUCAGGGAGACCUCAUUGCUCUCUACAGCACCCUGGAAGGAGGUGGGGGGGGGGGGGGUGUCGGCCUCUGCUCCAGGUAGCAGCGAUAGGACGAGAGGGAUGGGCUUAUGUUGCACCAGGGGAGGAGCAGGUUGGAUAUUAGGAAAUAUUUCUUCGCAGAAUGGGUGGUGGGGCAGUGGCACAGCUGCCCGGGGGGUGUUUGGAACCGUGGGGAUGUGGCCCCAUAGCAGGCAGGGUGGGAUGGGGGUGGAGGUCCCCAAGGACCUUAAUGGCCUUCCAUGCCUAAAGACGGUGUGGUGCUCUGCGUGUCUUAGAGCUGAACGUGUCGUGUUGUUGAACCUGUGUGCCCUGCGCCUGUCUGGUUGUUAGAGCUGGGGGCUUUUGGUGCUUUUUUUCCAAAAGGGUGUGAAGGGGGAUGGAAAGAAGCCACAGAGGGGCAGAUCCCGAUGCCGUGGGGCAGCCGGAUGGGAACGUGGUGCGGGGUUAGCAGCGCCAGAGAGCCUGCUUUAGAAAGGAGUCCUGCUUACAUUGCAGUGUUGUUGGGAUGGCCAGAGCAGCGUGUGAGUGCUGUGUCUUAAAGGUAGCGAAUAGGCGGCACUGGAGCGAGUUGAGCCUUAGGGCUGGCGCUGUACGCAGCGAGCAGCAGCGAUGCCAAAGCCGGGCCCUUGCGAGGAGCCACGGAGCGGCCGCGAAGCCGUCCCAAAGCUGCCGGCCUGCGGGAGCCGCGCCGUGCAGUGCCGUGCCGUCCCCUCGGCGGCGCUGCGGGGGGAGCCGGGUUUCGCUUAGCGCGGCCGUUGGCUGUUGCGGUGUUGGCGUGCUGUUACAAUGGACGGCUUCCCUUUUUGCGGCAGCGUUUUCGGGGAGCCGGGCUGCCGCUGCAACGCUUCCUGCCUGGAGAGCGGCUGGAAGCAGAGCGGGGUGUCCCGGCUCCCCCUGGGGACGAGGCGCUUCAGCGGGCGCUGAAAGGCUGCACUGCCGCUAAGUGUGAGCGCAGGAGGUGGGGUCGGACCCUGCGGGGCGACGCACCGCUCCGGAACACCUGCGGUGGGGAUUAGGAGCAAUUAGUGUGUGUUAAGACUCCUUCAUUAAGCAGAAUGUGGCAUAAAGUUGGUAGAAUCAAAGCAGGGUCGCGGAGUCGAUGGUUAUGGAGGGAGCAGCGGCGCUCUGAGCAGGGGGGAGAGGUUCCUGCGUUCCUGUGUCUGUAAGAGCCAUCGUUGAAGUGUUUGCAGGUGCCGAAGGCUGCCCGUGCUGCCCGGCUCACCGGGGCUUCUGCUGCCGGAGUCGGACACGCAGCUGUCCGGGAGGAGCCGAGGCCCCGUGCAGCGCUGCGGGGCUCCAGGUGGAACAGGAGGCCUCAGCGGGCUGCUGCUUCUCUCCCUGAGCAAUGGCUCCUAACGAGUGAGAUCCCAAUUAACCCAGCCUGCUCCUAACGAGAGCCCAAUUAACCCAGCCCGCUCCAACACACGGAGCGGCGGCAGAGCCCCUGCAGCCACCCCAGCGCUGCCGCUGCCCGGCGCUGUCAUGGCAGAGGGAAGGGGAAAGGAGACUGCGAGGCUUCGGGGCAGCACCUCGGCACCCCGCUGUCCUUCCCACAGCUGGUGGCGGCGUUUGCCCCGAGCGGAUUUUUUGGCCAAGCUUCUGCUAAAACCUUCCUGGAGCCCCACGGCAGCCCCACGCCAUCUUCCCCUUCCCCGGAGCUGACGUUCGUUAUGAAAUAAACCUGCCCCCGUAGGUACCGAG